GAUGAACGCUGGCGGCGUGCCUAACACAUGCAAGUCGAACGGGAACUCUCAAGUGAAGUUUCGAUGGAUCUUGAGAAAUUCUAGUGGCGGACGGGUGAGUAACGCGUGGGUAACCUGCCCUUAAGAGGGGAAUAACAGUGAGAAAUUACUGCUAAUACACCAUAUGCUUACAGAGUCGCAUGACUCAGUGAGGAAAGGAAAUUCGCUUAAGGAUGGACCCGCGUUUGAUUAGCCAGUUGGCAGGGUAACGGCCUACCAAAGCAACGAUCAAUAGCCGGCCUGAGAGGGUGAACGGCCACAUUGGAACUGAGACACGGUCCAAACUCC
Molecule: ribosomal RNA, 327 nt
Filed under: uncultured Lachnospiraceae bacterium
Lineage: Bacteria; Bacillati; Bacillota; Clostridia; Lachnospirales; Lachnospiraceae
Description: bacterial SSU rRNA
Rfam family: Bacterial small subunit ribosomal RNA
Source: RNAcentral